GUGCCAGCCGCCGCGGUAAUACCGGCAGCUCGAGUGAUGGCCACUCUUAUUGGGCCUAAAGCGUCCGUAGCUGGCCGCGCAAGUCCGUCGGGAAAUCCAUCAGCCCAACUGAUGGGCGUCCGGCGGAAACUGCACGGCUUGGGACCGGAAGGCUCGAGAGGUACGUCCGGGGUAGGAGUGAAAUCCCAUAAUCCCGCACGGACCACCGAUGGCGAAAGCGCCUCGGGAAGACGGACCCGACAGUGAGGGACGAAAGCUGGGAUCUCGAACCGGAUUAGAAACCCGUGUAGUCC
Molecule: ribosomal RNA, 293 nt
Filed under: uncultured bacterium
Lineage: Bacteria
Description: partial 16S ribosomal RNA
Rfam family: Archaeal small subunit ribosomal RNA
Source: RNAcentral